Non-coding RNA from Pelodiscus sinensis (Chinese soft-shelled turtle), 736 nucleotides. NCBI's taxonomy places the organism in Eukaryota, Metazoa, Chordata, Testudines, Trionychidae. The record is from RefSeq and is a predicted model, not a curated record.
UCACGGGAUUUGUAGUCCUACACAGUGAGAGCGGCGGUGGGUUUUGAAAACAGAGUUCUAACGGCUGCCAGGAAAGGGUUGCGCACGCGCACAACAAAAGGAAGCCUGACGUCCCGCUCCCUCUGAGGAUGGUGUCUCCCAGAGGCAGGGCAGCCCUCUCAGGGUGGAGCCUGUGCUGUUGUGGUGCAGUGCUAGGUGACCUCUCCCCUGGGACGAGAGCCCUGGGCCGGCCGGCCUCUUAGAGUCACGGUAGCCGAAAGUGUACAGUUACUUCAAGCUGACAAAGACUGGACCAUUUAUUGAGGCCACAUUGUCUUUACCCAAAAAGAUAAAAAAUCCAGGAAUGUGAAUAUCUUAUCUUCUCAAUUUUUCCCUUAAGUUACAUGAAUGCCUAGAAUCUUCAGUGUGGCCCAUGAGUCUUUUACGGUAUGUAGAGAAGCGUUUCUGGAUUCUGCGAAGAACUUUGUACCCUCGACUGGCAAGUCUUAUACUGUUGAUAGGUCUUCACUCAGAAAUCUGGAGAGCUGAAGUGAAGCAGCUCGCCUUCUUACCAAGGCCAAGGACCUGGCUGCCAUGUUCGUGGAGUCCAGCGCAGCCUAUAAAGCUGUUAUAAAGAUUAAUGGCCCUUCACUGAUAUUUGACUUAAACUGCUCUCUUUUGUUAUCAGGAAGGGACUCAAUAAAAGUUUCUAAUUGGUCAAAAUGUAGUCUGUGUACUUCGCUAGUAAUGCCACAUA